GUCAAUUAUGCCAAUAUCUGUCUCCCAUUUUAUCACUCAAUUGAGCACAGUUAACUGGGGAUCAAGCUGGGGAUGGUAUUAUCUCACGCUAUGCCAUCAUUGAAGAGGAUCCAGCUGAGAUGUUUUACUGAAUUGAUUGAUCGGAGAAUCAGAUAUAUAUGCCUAGUCAUGACUAAUGAGGAGCUAACUGGCAUGCUUUUGUCUGCACCUGCUUUCUAGGUAUGGCAUCGAACAGGGCAAAUCAGUUCUGGCAGAGGAACAACACUUGCCAUACUAAGCAAACAUUUUCUUACCGUGCUCUCCACGGAUUAGCUUGAGAAGCAAUCAGAUUGAGGCCACGACUGGUAGAUUUUACGUUGUGCUCAUUGGGGUGAUGGUUGGGCAGAUCCAGUUGGUGCUGUGAGGGUCAGGUCGUGGGCAAAAGGCAGGUAGACAUAUAUAAGAGGUUAGUGACCAAGUUGUUCGCAACUUUCAGUUUUUUUACGGUAUCACAUUCCCACUCCUGAGCCUUUUAUAGAGACAUGCUUCCUUUGAGCACUUAAUUGACCAGGGUCUCAUUGAACAGUACGUUUCUAAAUAUAUAUUGUAUGGUACUGCUCAUAUCAGCCCUUUGGCAAUGCUGUCAGUAUGAAUUGUUAAUUUCGGGUCAGUGUUUUGGCGGUGAUACUUUUUACGAAUGUUGUAAUUAGAACUAUUAGUCUGUUAUAAGUGUAUCAUUGAAGUUCUUCAGAUAACAAAACUUGUUUGUACAAUUUUUUGUAAGGUACAAACAAGCAAAUUUUUCCCAUACACAUAGCUGACAUCUCCACUAAGGGAAACAGUUCUCUACCAUGCGAUGGACACAUCGCCAUUCAAUAGAUCCACCAACCUGUGGAAAUGUUAAGAAUGCUGAUGCAGUUAUUAUCACUAUCCAGUCUCACUGUAGCCUCUA
This is a long non-coding RNA of Lolium rigidum, 931 nucleotides long. RefSeq lists it as uncharacterized. The transcript is spliced from 3 exons. NCBI's taxonomy places the organism in Eukaryota, Viridiplantae, Streptophyta, Magnoliopsida, Poales, Poaceae. The record is from RefSeq and is a predicted model, not a curated record.